Molecule: ribosomal RNA, 652 nt
Filed under: Cenococcum geophilum
Lineage: Eukaryota; Fungi; Ascomycota; Dothideomycetes; Gloniales; Gloniaceae
Description: eukaryotic LSU rRNA
Rfam family: Eukaryotic large subunit ribosomal RNA
Source: RNAcentral
UUGACCUCGGAUCAGGCAGGGAUACCCGCUGAACUUAAGCAUAUCAAUAAGCGGAGGAAAAGAAACCAACAGGGAUUGCCUCAGUAACGGCGAGUGAAGCGGCAACAGCUCAAAUUUGAAAUCUGGCUCUUUUAGGGUCCGAGUUGUAAUUUGUAGAGGAUGCUUCGGCGUCGGCUCCGGUCUAAGUUCCUUGGAACAGGACGUCAUAGAGGGUGAGAAUCCCGUAUGUGAUCGGUUGCCCUUGCCAUGUGAAGCUCCCUCGACGAGUCGAGUUGUUUGGGAAUGCAGCUCUAAAUGGGAGGUAAAUUUCUUCUAAAGCUAAAUACUGGCCAGAGACCGAUAGCGCACAAGUAGAGUGAUCGAAAGAUGAAAAGCACUUUGGAAAGAGAGUCAAAAAGUACGUGAAAUUGUUGAAAGGGAAGCGCUUGCAACCAGACCUGCCUGCAGUUGCUCAUCCGGGCUUUUGCCCGGUGCACUCUUCUGCUGUCAGGCCAGCAUCAGUUCGGGCGGUCGGAUAAAGGCUUCGGGAAUGUAGCUCCUCUCGAGGAGUGUUAUAGCCCGUUGCGAAAUGCGGCCAGCCUGAACUGAGGUCCGCGCUUCGGCUAGGAUGCUGGCGUAAUGGUUGUAAGCGGCCCGUCUUGAAACACGGACC